UACGUAGGGGGCAAGCGUUGUCCGGAAUCAUUGGGCGUAAAGAGCGUGUAGGCGGUCCGGUAAGUCCGCUGUGAAAGUCCAGGGCUCAACCCUGGAAUGCCGGUGGAUACUGCCGGGCUAGAGUCCGGAAGAGGAGAGUGGAAUUUCCGGUGUAGCGGUGAAAUGCGCAGAUAUCGGGAAGAACACCCGUGGCGAAGGCGGCUCUCUGGGACGGUACUGACGCUGAGACGCGAAAGCGUGGGGAGCGAACAGG
Molecule: ribosomal RNA, 253 nt
Filed under: uncultured bacterium
Lineage: Bacteria
Description: partial 16S ribosomal RNA
Rfam family: Bacterial small subunit ribosomal RNA
Source: RNAcentral